AUUGAACGCUGGCGGCAGGCUUAACACAUGCAAGUCGAACGAGUGGCGGACGGGUGAGUAAUGCUUGGGAAUCUAGCUUAUGGAUGGGGAUAACUACGGGAAACUGUAGCUAAUACCGCGUACCAUAGGAUGAGCCCAUGUGGGAUUAGGUAGUUGGUGAGGUAAAGGCUCACGAAGCCGACGAUCUCUAGCUGGUCUGAGAGGAUGAGCGGCCAAACUGGAACUGAGACACGGUCCAGACUCCUACGGGAGGCAGCAGGAGGGAAUCUUCCGCAAUGGGCGAAAGCUGACGGAGCAACGCGGCGUGAGUGAUGACGGCCUUCGGGUUGUAAAGCUCUGUUAAUCGGGAGACGGUACCGGAAUAGAAAGCCACGGCUAACUACGUGCCAGCAGCCGCGGUAAUUC
Molecule: ribosomal RNA, 405 nt
Filed under: uncultured bacterium
Lineage: Bacteria
Description: partial 16S ribosomal RNA
Rfam family: Bacterial small subunit ribosomal RNA
Source: RNAcentral